GACGAACGCUGGCGGCGUGCUUAACACAUGCAAGUCGAACGGAAAGGCCCUGCUUUUGUGGGAUGCUCGAGUGGCGAACGGGUGAGUAACACGUGGGUAACCUGCCCUUGACUUUGGGAUAACUUCAGGAAACUGGGGCUAAUACCGGAUAGGAGCUCCUGCUGCAUGGUGGGGGUUGGAAAGUUUCGGCGGUUGGGGAUGGACUCGCGGCUUAUCAGCUUGUUGGUGGGGUAGUGGCUUACCAAGGCUUUGACGGGUAGCCGGCCUGAGAGGGUGACCGGCCACAUUGGGACUGAGAUACGGCCCAGACUCCUACGGGAGGCAGCAGUGGGGAAUAUUGCACAAUGGGCGGAAGCCUGAUGCAGCAACGCCGCGUGCGGGAUGACGGCCUUCGGGUUGUAAACCGCUUUCGCCUGUGACGAAGCGUGAGUGACGGUAAUGGGUAAAGAAGCACCGGCUAACUACGUG
This 468-nucleotide ribosomal RNA is filed under the name uncultured bacterium. Its description in RNAcentral is "partial 16S ribosomal RNA". It matches the Rfam family "Bacterial small subunit ribosomal RNA", at positions 28 to 507 of the family's 1533-position model. The record is from RNAcentral.